AUACGGAGGGUGCAAGCGUUGUUCGGAAUUACUGGGCGUAAAGCGCUCGUAGGCGGUUGGGUAAGUCGAAUGUGAAAGCCCAGGGCUCAACCCUGGAACUGCAUCCGAAACUGCUCAGCUAGAGUCCCGGAGAGGAAGGCAGAAUUCCCAGUGUAGGGGUGAAAUCCGUAGAUAUUGGGAGGAAUACCAGUGGCGAAGGCGGCCUUCUGGACGGUGACUGACGCUGAGGAGCGAAAGCGUGGGGAGCAAACAGGAUUAGAUACCCCAGUAGUCC
Molecule: ribosomal RNA, 274 nt
Filed under: uncultured bacterium
Lineage: Bacteria
Description: partial 16S ribosomal RNA
Rfam family: Bacterial small subunit ribosomal RNA
Source: RNAcentral